Cercocebus atys (sooty mangabey) is the source of this 1759-nucleotide long non-coding RNA. RefSeq lists it as uncharacterized. Lineage: Eukaryota; Metazoa; Chordata; Mammalia; Primates; Cercopithecidae. The transcript has 3 exons. The record is from RefSeq and is a predicted model, not a curated record.
AGAAACGAGUUCUAGUCCUUAAAGAAAGUCACUUAAACUGUUUUGGCUUCCUCGUAUGGAAGAUGAAAAUGGUAAUAUAAUUGACUUAGUAGGGUUGCUGUAAGUAUGAGUUAGUGUGUAAAUGUUUACAAUUACGCAUGGCACACAGCAGCCGCCACCUUUUCUAUCAGGGCUGUUCUCACCCAACUGUAAAACAGGAAGGCGUACCCAGCUGGAUCCGGGCCCUGGGUUCUCAGGCAUUGUGAUUGGUCCCAGCAUAUGACGCAAGGCGGGUUUCAUUGAUGGAAUUGCUGUCAAUUAGCGAAGGGCGGAAACCAUGCGGAGAGGGCGGUCCUUUAGUGCCACACUUGCGCGACUCGCUCCUUUCUUUUCAGGCUUAGCUACUGCGCAUGCGUCUGGCCCUCUUGAUGUUCCCGGCGUGCCCCGCAACGGCUUCCGGCAUGACGUAGUAGAGAAGAUGGCGUGGUAGGCGCGUCGCGCGCCUGAGGGCCUUUUGUGGUGAGGUGGGGCUUACGGGUUGCGGCUCCGCUCUCUGUCCUGAGGCUCUCAGAUUGCACUCUGGGUUCCUGGACGCAAAAACUCGGAGUGGCUGCGUGAUGCAGCGUGAACUGGGUCCUCUGGGGACGCGUGGGGAACGAGGCAGCCCGGAGUGCCUGCCUUGUUGCCCUUCGGACCUCCAGUCCAUUCGGGUUCCCCAGUGAGGCCUCCUUUGAAGGGCUCGGUGGCGCUUGCCCUUCACACUAAGAAAACACUCGUUUCCUAAAGCUCGACUGCGCCCUUGUGCUGAGCGGUGGGGACACGAAGACAGCACAGAAACACUGUUUACCCUCAGCGAGCCCCCGAACUGUUGGAGUGGAUAAACCCGCCAGAAACAAAUUACAGCGUUAGGCGGGUUAAGAUGGAGCACCCUGAGAAACGUUACAGAGAGAUCCGGAGAGUUCAGAGGAUCAGGAUGCUUCAAGAAGAUGGGGGUAGUGGUGUCAUCAGUCCUCAUCCUGGGGUUUUUGUCUUUGAUGGUGCACUCCUUGAGGACAUGAAAUUUUUCUUGGACGUUUCCAAUACCUAGGCUCAGGGGCCCUUCCCUGAUUGGGAGGGGUAGAGACCAGCUGUCUGUCGUGUUUAUUAUCUAUGGAAAGGAUGAAUUAGGUCUUGGCGACUUAAGGAGGGAAAAUUUUGAGUAGAGUUUUUAUCAGAACUAGCAGGAGGUGAUUCUUCAGAGUUGCAGCAACUGAAUUAGGACAAUAAUUGUAAGAGUGUCGUCAUGGAAAGUGAGCAGUUCUUCUUGAAGGCCUAACUGAACUGGACUGAGGCAAGACGUCAAGCUCUAUGUCAUCUGCCAGUCUGUUUAUAGGUGUACCCUCAAUUCUUGAAUGUUCUAACUUCUGGCAGCAGAACAACAAAAGGCAACCCUGGUCUUGGCCAGCUCAAACAGGAAGAAAGCAAAGUGCUAACUACUCAGCCAGCAUAGGCUCAGGCUGUGAAAGGCAAGGCCAUGCUAGAGGAGGAGAGAGAAGAAAGACCUGGUCUGGAGGCCUAACCAGCAGUCUGACAAUGCAAAGUAGUGAAACUCCAUGGGAAAAGAUGACAUGAACUUAGUGAAAGAGGUUGGCAAAUGCAAAAUCAGGGCUCUAAAAUGCAAGAGGAAUAAUCUUUAAACUCCAUGAAAACCAAAACUCCUGGCUUGGAUAGGGUGACACAUCAAGAUGAUGAUAAUGCCAGGAUCAGUGACAGCUCCUACUCAACUGCUAGACUAAUGGCC